UGGGGAAUAUUGCACAAUGGGGGAAACCCUGAUGCAGCAACGCCGCGUGAGUGAAGAAGUAUUUCGGUAUGUAAAGCUCUAUCAGCAGGGAAGAAAGUGACGGUACCUGACUAAGAAGCCCCGGCUAACUACGUGCCAGCAGCCGCGGUAAUACGUAGGGGGCAAGCGUUAUCCGGAUUUACUGGGUGUAAAGGGAGCGUAGACGGCACAGCAAGUCUGAAGUGAAAUCCCCGGGCUCAACCCGGGAACUGCUUUGGAAACUGUUGGGCUGGAGUGUUGGAGAGGCAAGCGGAAUUCCUAGUGUAGCGGUGAAAUGCGUAGAUAUUAGGAGGAACACCAGUGGCGAAGGCGGCUUGCUGGACAAUCACUGACGUUGAGGCUCGAAAGCGUGGGGAGCAAACAGGAUUAGAUACCC
Molecule: ribosomal RNA, 415 nt
Filed under: uncultured bacterium
Lineage: Bacteria
Description: bacterial SSU rRNA
Rfam family: Bacterial small subunit ribosomal RNA
Source: RNAcentral